UCCAAUGUGGUGUAGUGGUUAACAUUGCUGUCUUUCAUGAUGUAUUCACAGCAGCCCGGGGUUCGAUUCCCCGCAUUGGAA
Non-coding RNA from Lentinula detonsa, 81 nucleotides. The record is from the annotation of a GenBank genome assembly. NCBI's taxonomy places the organism in Eukaryota, Fungi, Basidiomycota, Agaricomycetes, Agaricales, Omphalotaceae.